AGCCCCAAAUGUCCGUGGAACCGGCCCCACUAACCUGCAUCCAGCUGCCUCUUCCACCUGGGCCCUGCUCUCAGAUGGAAGUGUCACCAAACACCCAGAUCGCCGUGCUCCUGCUUCUCUGGAGUGGACACAACCUGAAAACCAACUGGACUGAGCAUCCUUCUCCUAAAAUCUCAGCCAGAAGCCACGAUGGAGGGUCCUGGGAAGGGAAGAGAUGUGAAGAUUUCUGUGAUUCUAAAACCUUGGGUCUGCCUGCAAACUUCUCUCUGAUCCCAGCCGAGAGCUGUGCACACGCUAGCUAGCCCUGUCACACAAUAGCCCAGUGUUCCCGUCACAGUGCCUGGGAAUGAGAGGCUUUUGAGGCCACAGAGCUAUGACAAGUCCCCAGGUUGAAUUGACUCUGGGAGGACAAAUUUCUGAGAGACUCACGGGACCCUUAUCCAGGACAACCUCACAAAGAUCCCUGAAACUGAGCUUCCUCUGCUUCGUGCAUAGUUUGAGGUAUAAACUUUCCUUGUGUCUCGGUCAGAUGAAGUGAAGGAUGAAUAUUAUCCCAGGCUAAAGUAACGAAAAGUCCAGAAGCCAGCGAUGACAGAGAUGUGUGUGGAAGAAGGCUGUGAGCAUUUCCAUCAAACCCUGUGAGUUUCCGAAGAUCUUAUCCCGAAGAUAUGUGUUUGGCCAAUAAAACACUGAAUAAAAAUCCAUCAUGUUUCCAGGGCGCCUGGCCUCCAUCACAGCAUGCCCACUCUGUGCCCGCUGCAACCUCCUCUGACUCUCCCACUAGACCGGUGCCUGGUACACAUGCUCCUGCGUGCAUGAACAUCGGUCAGCUAUGGGUCCUCAAGAUGACAAAACCCCCUGCUCCUGUGUCCUCACGGGGAUCUGCACCAGCACUGGGCUGAACACUCUCCCUGCAAUCUGUCAGUCACGUCUUCUGUAGCAUUUUCUUUCUGGCAACAACGGUUGGGGUCAUUAAAAGUGUCUUUGAAAUG
This 992-nucleotide long non-coding RNA is filed under the name Homo sapiens (human). RNAcentral describes it as "HSALNT0022935". The record is from RNAcentral. Lineage: Eukaryota; Metazoa; Chordata; Mammalia; Primates; Hominidae.